GGGCAGCGGUGGGUUAGAGCCGCAGAACAGUCCAGUGCCCCGUAGGCCAGAGGGCUUCCGGUCCGGCCCCAUCCCGCCCAGAGGCGCUGCUCUAUCAGUGCCUUUGAGAGUUCCAUGGGCCAAGCCCCAACAGCAGCUGAGCCUUUGGAGAGCAGCCCUGACACCUGUCCCAGGAGACAAGUCCUGUGCAGGGAAAGGACUUCCGUCUGGGCUGGUUUGGGCUGCAGAAGGGUUCCAGGCUUAUACUCCUUUGCUGGAGGGAUUUUUCCAGAAGCUGAAUGAAGGCACUGCUCUUCCUGUAAGACCCUAAACUCCAUGCAGGAGAGGAAGGGAGAGAGCCAUACCUCCCAUGACGGGAAGAGUGAGACGAACAAUUCUCUUUGAGAAUGGCCGAAUGGAUGACUGUUGGCAGUUGCUGAGCCUAGCGAAACCAGACCUAAAUGUAGCCAUGUGGUAGGAUGGUUCCCUCAAGCACAUUUUCUAAAAAUUUGGCCUUUUGAACCAUUUUAAGCCAUGUAUUAGCAUAGCUUCUGUGAAGAAUAGGGCAAAAAGGGGAGAGUAUGAGAUACAUCAUAGAGUAGACAAUGAUGCCCACUCCCCCACCACCUAAGGGUGACAUGGGCUCUAUCCUUAAGCAUUACCCUGAAUGGGGAGGGGUGGUCUGUCUGCAUCUAAGAUUGAAACCUGCAGUGUGGCUGUUCCCCGGGAGCUGUGAACAGACCUCAGAGUGAUGGCUGAGUGGUGUACCUGGUAGCCAGCACCCAGCCACGGCCGUCCCUGCUCUGGCACGGACUCCUGUGUCUACAGGUGUUAGGAAAACAGCGGAAUACUUCUGAGCUGCCUGCCGUCCUGAGCCUCCUCGUCCGUCUAAGGCCCGAGAGACUGUAGGGAUGCUUGCAGCAGCUCCCAUGGACCUGGGACCAGAGGCCCUGUGUUCUCAGAAUCCUCUCAAACCCCUGGGCUUCCAGUGCAAACCUAGGAUCUGGAAUUUCCUGCUCCUCUGGCAGGAUGAGAGCUUAGCACUGAAUUCAAG
Vulpes vulpes (red fox) is the source of this 1033-nucleotide long non-coding RNA. Lineage: Eukaryota; Metazoa; Chordata; Mammalia; Carnivora; Canidae. The record is from Ensembl.